CCUACGGGAGGCAGCAGUGAGGAAUAUUGGUCAAUGGGCGGAAGCCUGAACCAGCCAAGUAGCGUGCGGGAUGAAGGCCCUACGGGUCGUAACCCGCUUUUGCACGGGGAUAACACCCUCCACUUGUGGAGGUCUGCAGGUACCGUGCGCCUAAGGGCCGGCUGAUUCCGUGCCAGCAGCCGCGGUAAUACGGAAGGCCCGAGCGUUGUCCGGAUUCAUUGGGCGUAACGGGAGCGUAGGCGGGCGUUCAAGUCAGCUGUGAAAUCGCGCGGCGCACCCGCGCCCCGCAGUUGAAAGUGGACGGCUUGAGUGCACAACAGGCAGGCAGAAUUCGUGGUGUAGCGGUGAAAUGCAGAGAGAUCACGAGGAACCCCGAUGGCGAAGGCAGCCUGCCGGGGUGCGACUGACGCUGAGGCUCGAAGGUGCGGGUAUCAAACAGGAGUAGAGACCCGGGUAGUC
Molecule: ribosomal RNA, 459 nt
Filed under: uncultured bacterium
Lineage: Bacteria
Description: partial 16S ribosomal RNA
Rfam family: Bacterial small subunit ribosomal RNA
Source: RNAcentral